This 500-nucleotide ribosomal RNA is filed under the name Bifidobacterium sp. LLS001. RNAcentral's name for it is "bacterial SSU rRNA". It matches the Rfam family "Bacterial small subunit ribosomal RNA", at positions 49 to 545 of the family's 1533-position model. Lineage: Bacteria; Bacillati; Actinomycetota; Actinomycetes; Bifidobacteriales; Bifidobacteriaceae. The record is from RNAcentral.
UUGCAGGGGUGAAGGGGGUUUAUCGGAGACACGAGGAACUUGCUCCUGGGUGAUAGUGGCGAACGGAGCGAGUAAUGCGGGACCGAGCUGCCCCAUACAACGGAAUAGCUCGUGGACACCGGUGGGAAUGCUCGCACGCGUCCAGUAUGGAGGCAUGUCCUUCGGGGAAAGAUUCAUCGGUUUGGUAUGGGGACGCGUCCUAUCCGCUCGGAGGGGGCCUAGGAGUCCACCAUGGCUAUCUACGGGUAGCCUGCCUGACAGGGCCACCGGCCACCUUAGUACUGAGCAUACGGUCCAGACUCCUACCGGAGGCUUCACUGGGGAAUAUUGCCCUGUGGGCGCAAACCUGAUGCACCAACACCACGUGCGGAAUGACGGCCUUCGGGUUGUAAACCGCUUUUGACUGGUAGCAUGCCCUUCGGGGUGAGUGUACCUGUCGAAUAAUGACCGGCUAGUGACAUACCAGCAACGGAAGUAAUACGAAUGGUGCCUGCCUUAUC